Molecule: ribosomal RNA, 253 nt
Filed under: uncultured bacterium
Lineage: Bacteria
Description: partial 16S ribosomal RNA
Rfam family: Bacterial small subunit ribosomal RNA
Source: RNAcentral
UACGGGGGGGGUAAGCGUUGUUCGGAAUUACUGGGCGUAAAGGGCUCGUAGGCGGCCAACUAAGUCAGACGUGAAAUCCCUCAGCUUAACUGGGGAACUGCGUCUGAUACUGGAUGGCUUGGAUCCGGAAGAGGGAUGCGGAAUUCCAGGUGUAGCGGUGAAAUGCGUAGAUAUCUGGAGGAACACCAAUUGCGAAGGCAGCUCGCUGGGACGUUACUGACGCUGAGACGCGAAAGCGUGGGGAGCAAACAGG